RNAcentral lists this ribosomal RNA (614 nucleotides) under uncultured Acidobacteriota bacterium. RNAcentral describes it as "SSU rRNA". It matches the Rfam family "Bacterial small subunit ribosomal RNA", at positions 242 to 874 of the family's 1533-position model. The record is from RNAcentral. Lineage: Bacteria; Pseudomonadati; Acidobacteriota.
CAGCUAGUUGGCAGGGUAAUGGCCUACCAAGGCGACGAUCGGUAGCCGGCCUGAGAGGGCACACGGCCACACUGGCACUGAAACACGGGCCAGACUCCUACGGGAGGCAGCAGUGGGGAAUCUUGCACAAUGGGGGAAACCCUGAUGCAGCGACGCCGCGUGAGCGAUGAAGCCCUUCGGGGCGUAAAGCUCUUUCGGCAGGAACGAUAAUGACGGUACCUGAAGAAGAAGCUGCGGCUAACUACGUGCCAGCAGCCGCGGUAAUACGUAGGCAGCGAGCGUUGUUCGGAGUUACUGGGCGUAAAGAGUGCGUAGGCGGUCCUCUAAGUUUGGUGUGAAAUCUCCCGGCUUAACCGGGAGGGUGCGCCGAAAACUGGAGGGCUUGAGUAUGGGAGAGGUAAGCGGAAUUCCUGGUGUAGCGGUGAAAUGCGUAGAUAUCAGGAGGAACACCUGCGGUGUAGACGGCUUACUGGACCAUCACUGACGCUGAGGCACGAAAGCGUGGGUAGCAAACAGGAUUAGAUACCCUGGUAGUCCACGCCCUAAACGAUGCAUACUUGGUGUGAGCCAUUCAUUUGGUUCGUGCCGUAGCUAACGCGUUAAGUAUGCCGCCU